ACCAGGGUAGCUUAGUUAAAGCUUUGAUUUUGUAAUUCAAGGAUAGGAGUUCCCUUCCUGGUA
Molecule: transfer RNA, 63 nt
Filed under: Ampullaceana lagotis
Lineage: Eukaryota; Metazoa; Mollusca; Gastropoda; Lymnaeidae
Description: tRNA-Thr
Rfam family: tRNA
About the family: Transfer RNA (tRNA) molecules are approximately 80 nucleotides in length. Their secondary structure includes four short double-helical elements and three loops (D, anti-codon, and T loops).
Source: RNAcentral